CUCCACGUCAAUGCUCACACUACACGCCCCUCGAGGGCGUUAAGGAAAGCAGGGAGAGUGACAGGGCCCUUACCGCGGGACAUCAGCCUUGCUGGGGUGGGGGCGACACUGACUGCGUCCCUCAGAGGGAGAUGAGACCCUGCUUCCCGCCUCCUCCUCCACACCCCCACAACGGGGAAAUGCAAAGAGUACAGCAGCCGGUUAGGACCAAGCCAACGGGGAUUCUCACAGAAGGAGUGGGCUCUGGUGUGACUGCGACCCUAACAGACUCUAAAGAGGCCAACAAGUUUCUUUCUUCAGAAGGUGCGGCGAUGUCUGAGUGAGGUACUGCUGAGUCCAUCCCAGAUGUCAAAUAGCCACGACUUUCAUAUAAUUACACAUUGAAUACAGAAAACUCACUCUUUAAGGAUGAUUAUUUUGAUCGACA
Molecule: long non-coding RNA, 427 nt
Filed under: Equus caballus (horse)
Lineage: Eukaryota; Metazoa; Chordata; Mammalia; Perissodactyla; Equidae
Description: lncRNA (ENSECAG00000030775.3)
Source: RNAcentral